CAAGCCUCUUGGAUUGGGGGGGCACCCACACACGCAGCAUGCAGUGUGGCUAAUCUGCAACAUCCCAGAGGUGAGGUUCCAAGGACGCAUGUUCUUGUCCUCAAAGUCAGGCAGCCACCCACCUGCAGGAUGGCGAGUUGAAUGCAGCCCCUGCCUACCUACUCCCCUGCACUCCACUGCCCUUUAUCGGGGCUCCACAGAAGCAUGGUGAAGGAAGGAAGGAAGGGGCCGAGGGCAUCGGGCUCUGGAAAAAGUGAGCCAGGGGCACCCAGUCAGCCUGGACGUCACAUGCCAACCUCCGCCUUCCGACCCAGCCCUUUUUCCACUGGAAGGGACCUGAGCCUGGUGCAGACUGGCCUUGGACCCUGGGAGCUACGGGGCAGAGGGGAGCAAGCCCAAGGACCGGGUGGAAGAUGAGCAGGAGGAACCAGGAUAGAUGGUUACAGCUGGGUAGCAGGAAGGACUUACAGACGUGGGGGAUGCGCUGGCUCCAAGUGACCUGGAGGGAAAGGGCUGGGGCUGGAAGGGAGUCAUUGACGGUCUCCCAUAAUUACACAAGUGAACGGGACUUUUUAAAAAUAAAGUAGAGGACUUAAAAACCCAUCAGAGGGGCCUGGGAUUUAGCUCAGUGGCACUGUGCCUGGCUGGAAAGUGCAAGAUCCUGAGUUCCAUCCCUGUUACUGAAAAACAACAACAAACAAAACAAAACAAAAAAACCCCAUCACAGCUGGACAUAGUGGUGGGAGCACUCUGGGAGGCUGAGGCAGGAGGAUUGCAAGUUCAAGUCUAGCCUGGGCAACCUAGUGACUUAACUAGACUGUCUCAAAAUAAAAAAUAAAAAAGGGCUGAGGAUGUAGCUCAUUGCGAAGGCCCCAGCUUCAGUCCCCACUAUGGGGCAUAGAACCACC
RNAcentral lists this long non-coding RNA (908 nucleotides) under Heterocephalus glaber (naked mole-rat). RNAcentral describes it as "lncRNA (ENSHGLG00000048092.1)". Lineage: Eukaryota; Metazoa; Chordata; Mammalia; Rodentia; Bathyergidae. The record is from RNAcentral.